GAUAUGGCUCAGGACGAACGCUGGCGGCGCGCCUAACACAUGCAAGUCGAACGANAGAUGAGGAGCUUGCUCCUCAAAUCGAGUGGCGAACGGGUGAGUAACGCGUGAGGAACCUGCCUCAAAGAGGGGGACAACAGUUGGAAACGACUGCUAAUACCGCAUAAGCCCACGGCUCGGCAUCGAGCAGAGGGAAAAGGAGUGAUCCGCUUUGAGAUGGCCUCGCCGUCCGAUUAG
RNAcentral lists this ribosomal RNA (234 nucleotides) under uncultured bacterium. RNAcentral describes it as "partial 16S ribosomal RNA". It matches the Rfam family "Bacterial small subunit ribosomal RNA", at positions 15 to 244 of the family's 1533-position model. The record is from RNAcentral.